AUCCUCUCUAAAAUCCUACUGACAAUAUAAGAAGAUUCAUAAAAUGUCCACAGAAAUCAGAGCAGGUGUCAUUCGGACUAAGCUGGCUCUAUUUCUCACUAUGAUUAACCAGCUCGUAAUGACAACAUUUCUUAUCUUACAACUGUGGCAUGAAGAGGGAGCUGUAGCUCUUCUGAGACACAAUUCUGCACACCCCAGCUUAUCCACGCUCUGCGAUCUCGUGUCUGUUUCUCUCUCUCUCUCUCUCUCUCUCUCUCUCUCUCUCUCUCUCUCUCUCUCUCUCUCUCUCUCUCUCUCUCUCUCAUCAUUUUAACCAUUGUACCAGCUCCAUUUAAAUGUAUCUGCGGAGGAUCUGGUCAAGUGGAGAUAAUCCAUGCAAAUCAGAAACUGGUUGUCAGUGUGUGGUUCCCGGAGAGGACUCAGCCUGAGGAGGUCACUCGUUCACAGCCGCUCCUCCCAUUCUAUCUCUCCCCUUAUUGCAGAACUGCUGUAUGUAUACAGUAGCAGAAAGGACUCAAUUGACUUCAACUGCUGCCUGGCUUUGCUUACAACUUUUUCUUAUAAAGGAACUUACCUCCAUCUGUCUCUUGAAGGUGGCUGGCUACUUCCUCUAAACUCCACAACUCAUUCGAAAGACUAUGGAGCCUACAUAGUUUCUAAAGACAAACGAUGAAUUUCAAACUUUGCCAGAUUCUUACCUUUGCACAGAGAACUCUGCACACCCAUCUCACAGGAGGUGGCAUGCACAAGAAGUAUGCAUUCAAUGUGAUCGGCAGCUGAAAGGAACUUUCAAACACACCAGGGCUUUACAAUAAGUAAGUGCUUCACAACUCUCAAAUUCAUAAUUGUAAAAAAUAAUUAUAUGAAGUGGCAAAAGAAGUCAGUUUUGCUAUUGGUGUGGAAAUAAAAUUUAUAUUUCUA
This 921-nucleotide long non-coding RNA is filed under the name Mus spicilegus (steppe mouse). Its description in RNAcentral is "lncRNA (ENSMSIG00000014898.1)". Lineage: Eukaryota; Metazoa; Chordata; Mammalia; Rodentia; Muridae. The record is from RNAcentral.